This 323-nucleotide unclassified non-coding RNA is filed under the name soil metagenome. RNAcentral's name for it is "partial contains 5.8S ribosomal RNA, internal transcribed spacer 2, and large subunit ribosomal RNA". The stretch from base 1 to 120 matches the Rfam family "5.8S ribosomal RNA", at positions 35 to 154 of the family's 154-position model. The record is from RNAcentral.
GAUGAAGAACGUAGCGAAAUGCGAUAAGUAAUGCGAAUUGCGGAAUUCAGUGAGUCAUCGAAUCUUUGAACGCACAUUGCGCCCUGUGGUAUUCCGCAGGGCAUGCCUGUUCGAGCGUCAUUUCAACCCUCAAGCUCUGCUUGGUGUUGGGCCCUGCCCGCUGCGGCCGGCCCUAAAGACAGUGGCGGUGCCGCCUGGCCCUGAGCGUAGUACAUCUCUCGCUCCAGUGCCCGGUGGUAGCCUGCCAGAACCCCAACUCUCGUGGUUGACCUCGGAUCAGGUAGGGAUACCCGCUGAACUUAAGCAUAUCAAUAAGCGGAGGA